Molecule: small nucleolar RNA, 102 nt
Organism: Sapajus apella (tufted capuchin)
Lineage: Eukaryota; Metazoa; Chordata; Mammalia; Primates; Cebidae
Product: small nucleolar RNA U13
Exons: 1
Source: RefSeq, a predicted model, not a curated record
AUCCUUUUGGGGUUGGUGGAUGUGAUGACUGGGUUUCCAAGCACGUGUGACAUGUGCCUCCCUCAGACCUUGUUACCACAUCCAUGCUGUAGCCAUAGGAUG